AUUUCAGGUUUUGGAACAGGUACUGUCGCCAUGGACGAUGGUUGAAAAGAGAAGCCGGUAAGAAGCCGGCGCGGUCCCGCCACUGUGAGGGGAGCGAACCUGCAAGACGUCACUGGAGCACUCUGGGAAGGCGCAGGCGAGCGAUGAACCGAGCCAGGAGAACUGCCUGUUCGAAAGUCACCGU
Molecule: non-coding RNA, 184 nt
Filed under: Mitsuokella sp. oral taxon 131 str. W9106
Lineage: Bacteria; Bacillati; Bacillota; Negativicutes; Selenomonadales; Selenomonadaceae
Also listed under: 1 other name
Source: RNAcentral